RNAcentral lists this long non-coding RNA (11828 nucleotides) under Medicago truncatula (barrel medic). Its description in RNAcentral is "long non-coding RNA (MTRU_LNC004451)". Lineage: Eukaryota; Viridiplantae; Streptophyta; Magnoliopsida; Fabales; Fabaceae. The record is from RNAcentral.
CCACUGUUAAACCACCACCUUUACCUCUUAUGACUGGUAAAAUAUAGUAUUUCACACCUGUUGUUAAUUGUUUUCCUGAAAUGUCAAGAACUGGUUCAGGUGCUGCAAUAGUUUUGCAAAUGAAGGCUAAACAAAGGAUGGAAAAUGCUAAGAAUGAGGUUUUCAUUUUUCUCUAAGGAUUUAGAAGAAUAGAUUAGAUGAAUAUUUUUUGUGUAUUAAUAUAGAAAGAGUAUGUAUCUAUUUAUAGGACUUAAAAGGUAAUGAGUUUUUUGUAUUUUAAAUUAAUUUGCAUAAGGGUGGUGACGGGGGACCAAGUUGAGUGGGAUUGUGGGGCAUGAACAAAAAUAUAUAUUAUAUUAAGAAAGAUGCUAAAAGACUUCUAAUAAUGUGUACAUUUUUUUUAGAGGAAGUACUAUUUUAUCAUGAUUAUCACAUGUUAAAUAACUAUCAUAGAGAAAUAUGUGCAUUUCUAUGAGAUAAUGUUGGCCAGUCGGUGGAGAAGAUGUACAAUAGCAUUCUUCAACCUUUUCUCACUUCAAUUAUAGAGAAGAAAAAUAAUUAGCAACUAUGAUGAAGGUACUAGUAAGAAAGUAAAAAAAUAAAAUUUUAUAUUUAAAAUAAAUUUUUUAAAUUUUGUAAAAAGUUGAAUGUAUCCACUUUACACCAUUUUUGACAUUAAAAUGCUGUAUGACAUCAUAUAGUCUUAAGAAACAUCGAAUUUUUAUAUGGUUGUCAAUUUAAUAUUAUUCUUUUCUCUCUAUCAAACUAACAUUUAUACAAUUGUCCAAAACAUUGUCACAUUGUAGUUUUCAAAGAUCACUCAUCUUUACAAUAAUAUUUUAAAAAACAAACCAAACAUCAUAUUUAUGAAAUAUUUAAAUCUUGUAUAGGUUGAUUUGUCAUAAUCGUUUUUAAAUGUAAAAUUACACAUAUAGUUGCUUAAUUUAAUUUCUAAUAACGAUAUAUAAGUUCUUAAUCCCUUUUCACAUCAUUUUGAUAUGUUUGCAUAUCAAUUUUCUAGUUUCAAUUCUUCAAAAAAAAAAAAAAAAUUAAGUUUCAAAUUUAAAUUCAUAAAUAAAUUUGAAGAUUGAGAGCUAAAAAUAUAAAUAAAACUUCAAAUUCAAAGUUUAAUAAUGAUAUAUUCAACACCGCAUUAUCUCUUUUUUCUCUUUUUUUCAUUAUACUACUAAUAUGACUUUUUUAUAGGUGUCUAUCAAAUAUUUUUCAAGAAGUUAAGCAUGUCGAUUAGCAUUUUCAAGCGGUGCUACGUACCAACACAUGUUAGCCCAUUAACCUCACGUGCACAUCAUAUGUCAACAGCCGUGAUUCUUUGACUUGUGUUAGAUGGAAACAAAAUAAUAGCUGUCCUAAUUAAUAGCUAAAAUUGGACUCCACAAUACAUCUGUGACAUUGUGGCAAGAAUCUCACAUAUAUUGUUUAUCCACAAUGUGACAAACUACCGUCUAACGAGAUUAUAACCUUGAAUCUAAGAUUAGGGAGAUUAUGGUCAAUAAUAAUUCUAUCAAAAGAAUAACUUCAAGAUUUACUGAAAAAACUUUAGAAUGGAGAUUAGGACGGGAGUUCAGAAUAGAAAGGCUCAUUUCAAAAUUAAGCACUCUUAUAAUUUGAAGGAAACUUGCUCUCCAAGUCUUACUUGUUCAUAUUAAAAUUUCAAUACAUUCUUAAUAACAUUUUAGAAUCAUAUCCUUAUUCUCAUUUUGUUGUUAGUAAAGCAAAAAAAAUUCAGGUAUUAUUUUUUACUUCACUAAGUGUUGUUUUCGUGUUUUAAAAAUCAGAAACUACUACCAAAGUAAUUACCGGGUUGAGUCACGAUCAAGUCGCUCUUUUUAAGACGUUUUACGACACUACCUAAGUUUGUGCAAGGUAGACUAACAACUGUGACGCCUCCAAGAUAAAAUAGCCCAGAUCACUGUUCAAUUACGUACUGCACAUUAUGUAAUUGUUCGAGAAUAUACACCUCAAAAACAUGGCUUAAUUGUUCGAUUAAAACCACUCAAUAUGGUACGUAACCACUCUUAUCAAAAUUGAAGGGACAGAAAGGAGUAGAAGCAGAAGAAGGACUCGUCAACACAAGUCGAAGGAGGGAGAAUAGACGAAAAGCACAGGAAUCAUCAACUAUGAAUUUCGGUGUAAAGAAUGAGUGGGGGAGCUCUCCUUUUAUAGGCUGAGUUCGUAACAAAAAAACGAGUGACUUAAGGAUAAUGAUUAAAUUGAUUAAUUAAUUAAUUUAUCAUUUUCAAGUGACAACACAAAAAUAUAUAUCAUUUGACCCAAGCACAGGAAUCAUCAACUAUGAAUUUCGCUGUAAAGAAUGAGUGGGGGAGCUCUCCUUUUAUAGGCAGAGUUCGUAACAAAAAAACGAGUGACUUAAGGAUAACGAUUAAAUUAAUUAAUUUAUCAUUUUCAAGUGACAACACAAAAAUAUAUAUCAUUUGACCGGCGGCGUCAUCGCACGAUAUAUAUGUUUUUCUAAACGCUCACCUGUUCACAAAAUACCCAAGGACAUACCCUUGGAGGUCACCCCACCCUUAUAUAAACACUUGCUAGUUGGUGUGCCUCACCAAUGUGAGACAUUUUUAAGUCACGCACACUAAUUCUUACAUAGUGUUUUUCUAUCCAACUUUUCACUAGAAUUAACUAGUGUUCCAACACUAAGUGUCUAAACUGUAGAAAUUCUAAAUAUCCAACAAUAUUCACAUAUUUCAAAAUUAUAAGUAAAUAUUGAGAAACAAUGUUAUGUGUUAAUAUGAUGGGUUGAGCGUCUGUAAUAUUAUAAUCUAUGUCUUAUAUGUUGCAAGCAUGUCGAAUAUUUUGAGCACCAAAUUUAGUAAAAUGUUCAUCAAAUUCUAGUUAUUAGAAAUUAUAUAACAAGUUAUCUAAGCAUUUUAUAAUGAUCAUUUUCAUGGAUUUUUAUAUAUGAACUGCAUCUAAUAGUUGCUUGUAUUGUAGCUACUCAUAAUGCUAUCCAAUUCCAAAUUUGAUGUCAUAAUUGCUAAUUGAAUUUGAAUGUCUCAGAUAGGAGUAAAAAUAAAUAAAGGACUCAAUCAAUUAUUGGUUUAAUUUACUAAAUAUUAAAAUGCUGAAAUCAACUAGAUUUUAGUAACCACUAGGCUCUAAUCUCUAAGAAGUUAUAAACAGAAAAUAGAAAGUAGAAAUAUCUUAUGAUGCAGUUGAAUGAAGAGCUACUAAUGAAGCAUAAACACCAUGAGUAUUGUUCAUCAACUCAUCAUGUCUUCCCUUUUCAGCAACCAUCCCAUUUUUUAUUACUGCUAUAGUAUCAGCGCCUCGAAUUGUUGUAAGACGAUGAGCCACGAUGACAGUAGUUCUGUUCAAACUCACUCUAUCUAGAGCCUCUUGAACUAUACGCUCUGACUCGGCAUCAAGUGCACUUGUUGCCUCAUCAAGCAAAAGUAUUUUAGGGUUUUUCAGCAUGGCUCUUGCAAUCGCAAUGCGCUGCUUCUGUCCUCCAGAUAGUUGUGUGCCUCUUUCGCCAACAGAAGUGUCAUAACCAUCAGGAAGAGAACUUAUGAAGUUGUGUGCAUUGGCUGCGUUCGCUGCUGCUAUGAUCUCAUCCUCCGUAGCACCAUCUUCUUUACCAUAAGCUAUGUUGGCGCGAAUGCUUUCGUUGAAAAGAAUAGGCUCUUGACCAACCAAACCCAUUUGUUGUCUCAACCAGCUUAUUCUGAAAGUUUUGAUAUCCACUCCAUCUAGUAAUACGCGUCCGGAAUUAGGGUCAUAAAAUCUCUCUAAGAGGCUGAUAACUGUUGAUUUUCCACUGCCGCUUUCUCCAACCAAAGCAACAGUCUGCAAAGACAUACAUAUAUCAUCAAUUUAAAUACAUACUUUACACAUUCUCAAUACUGAUUUGUAGAACUAAAAGUUUACCUUUGCAGAUGGGAUGCUUAGGGUUAAAUCUUUGAAAAUUUGAAUGUCGGGUCUUGUUGGGUAACUAAAGUUGACGUGUUGAAGUUCGAUGUUGCCAACGACAGUUUCUUGUGUUACACCAUCAUUGCUGCUGGAAUCAAUAUCAGGUUUGCUGUCAAGAAUGUUAAAUAUUGAAGCUGCGGAAUCUAUGGCCUUGUUAGUGUCGGGAAACAAUGUAGAAGACUGGGAAACAGACAUUGCUGUCAUUGUCAAACUAAAGAAAACCUGCAUAAUUUAUUUUGUAAGAACCAGAUUAAAGGAAACAUUGAGUAAAUAUAAAUUAAGCCAAGUUAGGUGAUUGUAAAAUCAUCUGUACCCUGAAAAUUUCUACAAACGUUGCUUUCCUGUGAUGCACUAAAAUAGAUCCUAUGUAGAAGAUGAAAGCAUUUGUGCAAUAUAGAAUUAAAAAAGAUAAACCAAAUCCUACACCACUAACAAGCCCCGAGCGAACACCUUGUUUCGCUGGUCCAGAACAUUUUUUCCCGUACAUGUCCAUCACCUUUGAUUCUGCACAAAAUGACGCAACAGUUCUGAUGCUACUGACAGCAUCACUUGCCACCUGACUUGCCUCUUCAUACAUAACCUAUACAGACGGAUUAAAGAAAAAAAAAUCUCAUGAUUUCCGCAAAGUAUAAUGUAAUUGAGAAACCUUCAAGUAAGACUAACCUUGGCAUCACCACUAAACCCUUUAAGAAACUUCAUUUGAACCAUUCCUUGCAUAAGAAUCAAAGGUGACACAGCCAAAACUAUAAAAGCUAGAAUCCAAUUAGCAGUGAAUGCUAUAACUAGACCAGCUACCACCGUUGUUAUGUUCUGCACCAGGAGGGACAAGCUGUCGCCAACAAUACCUUUCACAGUUGAUGCGUCAACGGAUAACCUUGCACCAACUGCACCACUGCAAGGUGAUUCAUUUCUUUCAGUUUCAUGCGUAGAACUAAUAAAUUCAUCAUAAAUUUUGUCUUGAAGUAAAAUACAAUUUGUACAUACCUUGAAUGUGCUGGAUCAUCAAACCAUCUAAUUUCUUGGUGCACAAUCUUCGCAAAUGUCAAUGAACGAAUUCUUUCAAUAAGUUUUCCACCAGCAGUCCCAAAGAAGUAAUUCUUUAGUGGAAAAACUACUAGUGUAACCAAACCUAAACCCACAUAUACAAGUGACCAAAACCUGGACUCUUUCCUCUGCUGUUCUGGAGGUUUAUAAAACAUACUAAUGACUGCUGAAAACAAGAAGCCAAAUAUAGGGAACACGACACCAUUUACCAUUGCAGCAAUGGUUCCAAGUAGUAUGACAGGAAGCUCCGGCUUGUUCAACUUGGCCAAACGCCAUAUAGAAUUUUUCAUUGACAUUUUAGGUUUUUCGUUGUUAUCAACUUGACCUUGUUCAAUAUUUGCAUCUACUAUUUCUCCAGACAACUGGGAAUGUCGAUGACUCAUCGAUGAAGUUUGGCUUAUUGAUCUGACAAAGGAAAUUCUCUGAGUUGAAGAUCCAGCCAUGUGAAUAUCUAUAUUUAAAUUGUCACCGAACUUAUCUACUUCAGAACUUCUGCUACCUUCAGCUUCUUUUUCUCCUUCUUGUAGACGAAUAAGUUGAGAAUAAGCACCGUGAGGAUCCAUGGUUAACUCGCUAUGAGUUCCUACAAAAAAGGAAGCAUGAAAAAGUGAAUACAGUAUUCCAAAAUCUUACAAAAUUGGAUUCUCAUACUAAAAAUGUUAGUUCAUGUGUAUAACCAACCUCUCUCGACGAUUUUCCCCUGUUGAACCACUGCGAUUGUGUCAGCAUGUAUGAUAGUAGUCAAACGAUGCGCAACGACAAUAGUAGUCCUUUUUAAUAUAAUUUUUUCUAAUGCUUCUUGAACAAUAUGUUCAGACUCAGCAUCCAACGCACUUGUUGCUUCAUCAAGAAGAAGAAUUUUAGGGUUCUUCAAUAUUGCCCUAGCAAUUGCAAUUCUUUGCUUUUGCCCUCCAGAAAGUUGAGUCCCAUUUUGCCCUGCCAUUGUAUCAAGACCCUGCAAAUACAAUAUAUACCGCAUCAUUCAAAACAUAAGAAUCACAUUCUGCAAUAUUUAAUACGAUUCAAAUUAGUCAAAACACAAGAAUUUAUACACACACACCUGAGGCAGCCUGUCGAUGAAGUUUUUGGCAUUAGCAAGUGUUAUUGCUGUUGUUAUCUCCUCAUCAGUUGCACCUUCUUUCCCAUAUGCUAUGUUCUCUCGGAUAGAAGUAGUAAACAAGAUAGGUUCUUGACUAACUAGUCCAAUCUGUUCUCGUAUCCAUCUAAGUUGCAAGUUCUUCAAAUUCACACCAUCUAUAAGUACUUCUCCAGCAUUAGGGUCAUAGAAUCUUUCCAGUAAACUGAUUACAGUAGACUUCCCACUUCCACUUUGACCGACCAAAGCAGUAGUUGUGCCACUUGGAACAAACAAUGAGAAUCCAGCAAAGAUCUCCACAUCUGGUCUUGCAGGGUAUCUGAAGUGAACAUCUCUGAGUUCAAUAUCUCCCUUUAUAUCUUCCAACACAAGACCACUGGUAUCAUAUGCAUCGAUUUUUGGCUUUCUUUUAAUCGUCUCAAACAUUUUAUAUGCUGCUGCUUUGCCUGCAGCAAAUGCAUGUAAGCUUGGGGAUGUCUGACCUAAUGACCUGUCCAUCAAUGAAAAUUCAUAACAAAAAAAUCAUAUGCCUAAACAAUGCAAUUUAUUCAAUCAGGUACCAAUGUCUCACUUACAUUGAACCAGUCACAAGAGCUAUGACCACAGUCAUGACCGUUCCGCCAUUAUAUCCUUUCGCAAUCACUAGCUUGGAACCAUACCACAUGGCAAGUCCGUAAGAGCAGAAGAUAAUAAGGAGAAGCGUUCCCAUUCCUAUCCCUGAUGCUAUGCUUUGUUGAACCAUUGCAGUAUAAGCAAUUUUUAUCUUGCUAUUAUACUUCUCUAUGGCUUUUUUCUCACCAGUAAAAGAUGCAACCUGAUGAAUUUUCAAAAUUAAAGGUAAAAAAUACAAACUGAAAUUAAUCAUUCAAUAUUUCUGAACUGAUGCAAAUUUCUUACUGUUCUCAUGGAUCCAACUGUUUGAUUAGCAACAUUUCCUGCUUCUGCAUAAGCAACUUGUCCGCGAAUUGCCAUUUUAGCCAUCACCAUAGCCAUGAAAGCACCGGCAACAACAAUACAAGGUACACAUGCGAGUAAGACUAGAGCUAAGCGCCAUCCUUUUAUAAAUGCAAUUACAAAGCCACCAAAAAAAGUUGAACCAAGUUGAAGAAACUUCCCAACCUGUCAGAAUUAAAAUUAGAUUAACAUCCAUCGUGUUGACCAGUAACUUCAAGUAAAAAUUCCCGACAUUGCAAAAGUUAAUAAGUUACUUGAAAAACAAGUUACUUCACUAUUUACACAAAAUUGGAGUUUUUCAUAAGGUUUCUUGCAAAACAAGUUACUAAGUACAUUAAAAUGUAUAGGUCACUUCACUUCCACAGUAAAACUUGUAAAAACAUUUACACUGACAAUUAAUCUUCCACAGUGAAAACUUGUACAAACAUUUAUACUAACAAUUAAUGAAUGUGAUUGUAUACUAAAAGAGGAAGAUUUAUAUACCUUUUCUCCCAUAGCUUCUUGAAUGAGAAUUGUGUCACCAGACAUUCUACUAAUUACCUCUCCUGUGUUUGUUUCAGUGUCAAAGAAUGCAAUAUCCUGCUUUAAUAUGGUUUUCAAGUACAAACUACGAAUCCUCGCAGAUUGUCUUUCUCCUGUCACCAUCCAACAUGAUACCUCUGCAGCAUGCAACAAAGUCACCCUCAUUAUCAGAAUGAAUGCAAUAAUUAGUCUCGAACACAAUAAAUAAGCAAACAAAGUAAAAAAGUGUGGUCUUACGUAGAAAUGAUGUUAUUCCAGACCCAAUAGCCAGGUAAACAAAUAGCAAUGAUACCUGAAAUUUGAACUGUGUUAAAGAAUGUUUAAUAUUAUGGUAAUUAGUGCAUGCUAUGAUAGAUCCAUUUUGGUAACAAGUAUUCUUUUGUGUGUCUUAAAUCUGGUUACGUAUUGUUCCAAUCGAGAUUGAAACUCGAGUUUUUCAAGCGAUUAAGCAGUUAUCAGAAAAAUAAACCUAUAUUGGUGAAUUAGAUAAUUUCAUAGAGUGAAAUUGUCACAUACUCACAUAGUAAAAGAAAAGUGUUAAUAGCUAAUAUAUUUACUAUGUGUGCAUUUAAAAAUAUACUUAGGGUGUUUAUGCAUGUAUGAUUUUGAAACAAAUUAAAUUUUAAUCAUAUCAAUUCGUAUAUAAUUCUAACUGUGCAUAUCUCAUUAACUUUAUAACCUAAUGUAUAAUUAAAGAAAAAUAGUAAUAGAACAAUAAAUAUUUGGUAACACUAGAUGAGUGUCAAAAUGUACACAACAAAAAGAUGUGUAAAAAUGAAAAAAAUAAAAUUAGUAAAGAUGAAUAACGUACUUUAAUUUAAAAUGCAUGAACUUACGCUUUAAAGAAGAGUGCCUAAAAAAAGGAAAAAAUAGCCUUGUUUAUUUUUUGACGAAAGCAUGCCCUUUUGUUGUAUAACUAAUUUUGGUUCAGAUUUAGAGUAAAUUCAAUUGAUUAUUCAAAUCAAUUUGAACUAUUUUUUUGGUAUAAAAAAAUCAAUUCAAACUAAUUUAAUUAGUUUGUUUUGAAUUACUAUAACUUUAUCAUGUUAGUUUGCAUAUCUGCUAUCGAUCCAUUAAUGCGAAAACAAACUAUUAUAGGCCCCUUCAAUGAAUAUGUGUUUUCAUGAUUGCUAAUUUUGUACUCGUCUACAGUCUCAAUCAAACUCCGGAUAACCAAGACCGUUAACCUUAGAACCGAUCUCAACCGGUAAAGUAUCGGGGAAUCGAACUCAAUCUUUAUAAUUCCAUUAAUUUGGCUUCACUCUCUUGAUAAAUUAUUAACUUGCAAAAGUUCCAAGAAUAUACAUGCAUGUUAAUUUGCACUAAAAAAAAUACAAAGCAAAAAUGAUGCAAUAUAUUUAUAAAAACCUUGGAAACUUGAUUGAGAACUUCUGAUUGAUUAGAGGAACCAAAAGCAUUGAUGACUUUCCCAAGAAGAAGUGUCAUGAGAGGACUUGCAAAUCCAUUAGCCAUGGCAGAAAUAGUGCCAAUGAUCAUCAAAGUUACGUCAAGACGAUCAGCAAAACUAAAGAGCUUGUAGAAUGGAACUAUUUGGUUGGCUUUGUUAACAUGUUGUUGGGUAGAUGAUGAAGAAUUUUCAUGUACCUCAGUGUUAUCUGCCAUCAGUGUUUAAACCCUAGAUUGAAUCUCAAAGUAGUAAAUGAAAGUGUGUUAGACUUGCAUGUGAAACUAACUCUAUAUAAUAUAGGUCAAGUCUCGUGAAAAUAGGGAUACAGUUUUUUUGUUUCUUGAGUAAUACACUUAAAGAAUUUUGUUCAUCAAGAAAAAGAAUACUCUCCGUUUAUUGCUCAAUUGACAAAAAUAAAUAAAUAAAUAAAGUACAGCUCUUUUUUUUUUUUUUUCUUUCGCACCGGUUACCGACCUACCAAAGGUGGACGACUGAUUCGGCUCAUGCGUAGAGGCAUGCGCACUGGCCAAACGUUGUUCCCCUGGAAAUCGAACCCGGUAUUCCCUGGGUACGUCCUUGGAAGGAGCUCAUUGCCACUAGAGCCCAAACAACUUGGUUAGUUGAGCUCCUUUUCUUUUUCGUAAGAUUUACUGCUCAUUUAUUAGAUGUGUAAUUGCUAAACAAACCAAAAAAAAAACUUUGACACAAAUACAGCGAACAAUGUUUUUUUUUUCCUUCCAUUUUAUUUUAUUUUUUACAUUUUAUUAAAGGUGAAUUUUAGGAUGAUGGUUCAAUCAAGUUCCUCACCAAUGAAGCACCAAAAACUCUUCAUUAGAUCGAAUCAAUGGUCCAAAUUAUUUGAAAAUAAAUAUAAGAACAUUUAUUCCAUUCUACACACAACCCUACCCUUGUUUCUUUCCCAUUUGCAUCAUUUUCAAUUCAUCACAAAUAUGCAAAUGCUUGUUGAAAGUUAUAUGGAAGCCGUGAUGAUUAAAAAUUAGCCCUACCAUAUGGUGCAAUUGAAUGAUGAUUAUUGUUUUUCUGUUUUUAUAACUUAAACAAAUAUUAUAAAAAGAUAGUAUUAUAACAAAUAUUGUUCAAGAUCUAUUGAGAUAUGUAGGUUUCAAGUUGUGGUGUUUGCUUACACUCCGGUACUUUAUACUUGAAAGAGCUUUUAUGCUUUCUGCUUUAUUUUGGGAGCUAUUAACACUUGAAAUUUGAUAUCGCAUUGGCGGUCGAUCCAUUCGUCAGUUUUAAACUUAACUAUUCUUCGCAGAUGUUCACUCUUCAUAUUUUUUGUAACUUGAUUUCGUGCAUGUACGUAAGUUCGCUAGGUUGCACCCGUGAUUAAUAAAUUUUGUUAGGAUAUAUUAGGGUUGGUCCACUUGAUCUAUUUUAUAACAAUCUAUUCCCAUUUAGGUUGUACCUCAGUCAGAUCUAAUAUCCCCCAAUGUCUGUAUUUUUUCUCUUUAUUUAAUAUAAUUUUCCUUUUGCUUAAAAAAAUUAAAAAAUCUCACCCAAAAAGGGCAUCCCCUUUGUAUAUUUUUAUUGAUUAUAUAUGUGUAAGUUAUAAACUUUUAAUAUAUCCUAAUAUUGCAACUAAUAAAACACAUCAAGCACUAUAGCCCAAUGGUUCAUGAGUUAUUCUUUAUAGUCUGUGUCACGAAUUCAAUUUCGUCGAAAAAAAUGACAAAAGCAGGGAUUUAUUUAUUUUUUAUCCAGGGUUUGAACCGCAAAGACAAUGAGUUGAACCCAAAGAAAAACUAAAGAUUUAAACUAAACUCAACUAAAGAUUUAUCCAGGGUUUGACAAAAGCAAGGAUAUAUUAUGCAUUUACUCGAAAAGAAAAACUAAAUUCAUGGGGACAAAAAAACAAAGAUUUAAAUCCAAAGACAAUGAGUUAGGAAAACAUGCACUUGACCACUAAGUCAGUCAAUACAUCACGUCUGAUUAUAUUUUCAAAGUCAAGAUAUAUAAUAUAAAAUUUAGACUUUGAAUGUAAAAAAAAAAAAAAAAAAAGGUUUCAUAGCCACACCAAACCUUAGAAAGGCCACCCCUGAUCACUAAUCAGUGAGAUUAUUCCAUAAAUAAAACCAUAUGAUAUGCAUAAGUGCAUAACAUUUAUGAUAUUCUAGUGUUGUUUCCCUUAAGCCCUCUUAAACACAACCCUAAAUGAAGGAACUUGAUCACUAAGAGCCAAGUGUUUUUUCCCAUGAUCAUAAACAUAUAACCCUAGUUCCCUACACAAAGUUUGACAUUUACACACUGAAGGACAAAAUGAAAACACAUAAUCUUUAUCAGCUUUCUCAAUCUUAAACCAAUUAAAAAUUGUGUCAAACCCCGGAUUACCUUCUACACCUCCUGUAGCCAAAAACCACACCCCCGACAACACUUUAUUAAGCUUCCAAACUUGUGAUUGAGCACAUGUAGUUUUUGUUACAUAGGAUUUAAUAUUGAGAUCAGUUGAGGUUAAAAUCACACCUUUCUUAGCAUUAUAAGGUGUGAAAGUAACUGCUUGACCAUUUUUUACUUCAAGCUUCUCUUGAAGAACAUAAAGGGGACAUGUGUUAUUGUUACCGUUGAGGUUGUUUUCAUUUACAACUGUUAACCCACCACCUUUGCCUCUUAUGACUGGUAAAAUAUAGUAUUUCACACCUGUUGUUACUUUCUUGCCUGAGAUGUCAAGAACUGGUUCAGGUGCUGCAAAGGUUUUGCAAAUGAAGGCUAAAAAGAUGAUGGAAAAUGCUAAGAAUGAGGUUUUCAUGUUUCUCUAUGGAAUUAGAAGAAUAGAUUUAGAUGAAUGAUUAUAGAAAGAGUAUGUCCCUAUUUAUAGGACUUAAAUGGAAUAUAAGUUUU